RNAcentral lists this transfer RNA (71 nucleotides) under Sardinella zunasi (Japanese sardinella). Its description in RNAcentral is "tRNA-Trp". It matches the Rfam family "tRNA". Rfam says of the family: Transfer RNA (tRNA) molecules are approximately 80 nucleotides in length. Their secondary structure includes four short double-helical elements and three loops (D, anti-codon, and T loops). Lineage: Eukaryota; Metazoa; Chordata; Actinopteri; Clupeiformes; Clupeidae. The record is from RNAcentral.
GGGGACUUAGGAAUAACUAAGACCAAGAGCCUUCAAAGCUCUAAGUAGGAGUGAGACUCUCCUAGUCCCUG